Long non-coding RNA from Trachemys scripta elegans, 397 nucleotides. RefSeq lists it as uncharacterized. NCBI's taxonomy places the organism in Eukaryota, Metazoa, Chordata, Testudines, Emydidae. The transcript has 3 exons. The record is from RefSeq and is a predicted model, not a curated record.
GGAAUCGGAGUUGACUCCAGUCGCCCCAGUGCUACGCUCCUUCCCACCCUUCAAAAUUACCUGGAAAACAAACAGGACAAAACAAAGAAGACAGAAGGAAGAGAGAAAACAAAAGAACUGUAGGAGCCAAAGAAGGCCUCUUUGGAGAAUAACCUGGAACCAUGAAGGCUGAUGACCUCAGCAGAAGAGACUCCAUUCCACAGCUGAUACUCGACAACUGCUUAAAACAACAGCUGAAUGGAGAUGGGAAAUGUCUAAUAUUCAACCACAUGCUAAUGAAAAAUAAUCUGUGGGUUAUAUUAGGAUGCUGAUUAUUUGAAAAUUGUGCCUAGGCUCCUCCUGUAGGCAACGCUUCCAAAUGGUUUAGAAUGUUUGUUUCAUUUUGUAACUACAUAAA